RNAcentral lists this ribosomal RNA (466 nucleotides) under uncultured bacterium. RNAcentral describes it as "bacterial SSU rRNA". It matches the Rfam family "Bacterial small subunit ribosomal RNA", at positions 34 to 518 of the family's 1533-position model. The record is from RNAcentral.
CGCUGGCGGCGUGCUUCAUACAUGGCAAGUCGAACGAGAAAUACAACUUCGGUUGGUGGAAAGUGGCGGACGGGUGAGUAAUAUGUAGAGAAUCUGCCCUAGAGAUGGGGACAACAGUUGGAAACGACUGCUAAUACCCAAUAUGAGCGUAGCUGAGAUGCUAUUCUUGAAAACUCCGGUGCUCUGGGAUGAGUCUGCAUCUGAUUAGCUAGUUGGCGGUGUAAUGGACCACCAAGGCGACGAUCAGUAGCUGGUUUGAGAGGAUGAUCAGCCACAAUGGGACUGAGACACGGCCCAUACUCCUACGGGAGGCAGCAGUAGGGAAUUUUGCGCAAUGGGCGAAAGCCUGACGCCAGCAACGCCGCGUGAUUGAUGAAGCCCUUCGGGGUGUAAAGAUCUGUCAGUGGGGACGAAACUUGACGGUACCCACAGAGGAAGCACCGGCUAACUCCGUGCCAGCAGCGGC